RNAcentral lists this ribosomal RNA (482 nucleotides) under uncultured bacterium. RNAcentral describes it as "partial 16S ribosomal RNA". It matches the Rfam family "Bacterial small subunit ribosomal RNA", at positions 30 to 507 of the family's 1533-position model. The record is from RNAcentral.
AUUGAACGCUGGCGGCAUGCCUUACACAUGCAAGUCGAACGGUAACGGGCCUUCGGGUGCCGACGAGUGGCGAACGGGUGAGUAAUACAUCGGAACGUGCCCGAUCGUGGGGGAUAACGAGGCGAAAGCUUUGCUAAUACCUCAUACGAUCUACGGAUGAAAGCAGGGGACCGCAAGGCCUUGCGCGGACGGAGCGGCCGAUGGCAGAUUAGGUAGUUGGGGGGAUAAAAGCUUACCAAGCCGACGAUCUGUAGCUGGUCUGAGAGGAUGAUCAGCCACACUGGGACUGAGACACGGCCCAGACUCCUACGGGAGGCAGCAGUGGGGAAUUUUGGACAAUGGGCGCAAGCCUGAUCCAGCCAUGCCGCGUGCAGGAUGAAGGCCUUCGGGUUGUAAACUGCUUUUGUACGGAACGAAAAGCCUUCUUUUAAUACAGGAGGGUCAUGACGGUACCGUAAGAAUAAGCACCGGCUAACUACGUG